UACGAAGGGGGCUAGCGUUGCUCGGCAUCACUGGGCGUAAAGCGCACGUAGGCGGAUUGCUAAGUCAGGGGUGAAAUCCUGGAGCUCAACUCCAGAACUGCCUUUGAUACUGGCGACCUUGAGUCCGGGAGAGGUGAGUGGAACUGCGAGUGUAGAGGUGAAAUUCGUAGAUAUUCGCAAGAACACCAGUGGCGAAGGCGGCUCACUGGCCCGGUACUGACGCUGAGGUGCGAAAGCGUGGGGAGCAAACAGG
Molecule: ribosomal RNA, 253 nt
Filed under: uncultured bacterium
Lineage: Bacteria
Description: partial 16S ribosomal RNA
Rfam family: Bacterial small subunit ribosomal RNA
Source: RNAcentral